UGUAUGUUUUGUGGUGGUGUGUGGUGGGGUGUGGAGGUGGUGUAGUGGUGUGUGGAGGUGUGUGGUGGGGUGUGGAGGUGGUGUAGUGGUGUGUGGAGGUGUGUGGUGGGGUGUGGAGGUGGUGUAGUGGUGUGUGGAGGUGGUGUAGUGGUGUGUGGAGGCGUGUGGAGGUGGUGUAGUGGUGUGUGGAGGCGUGUGGAGGUGUUGUAGUGGGGUGUGGAGGUGGUGUAGUGGUGUGUGGAGGUGGUGUAGUGGUGUGUAGAGGUGUGUAGUGGUGUGUGGAGGCGGUGUAGUGGUGUGUGGAGGCGUGUGGAGGUGGUGUAGUGGUGUGUGGAGGCGUGUGGAGGUGUUGUAGUGGGGUGUGGAGGUGUGUAGUGGUGUGUGGAGGUGGUGUAGUGGGGUGUGGAGGUGUUGUAGUGGGGUGUGGAGGCGUGUGGAGGUGUGUGGUGGGGUGUGGAGGCGUGUGGAGGUGGUGUAGUGGUGUGUGGAGGUGGUGUAGUGGUGUGUGGAGGUGGUGUAGUGGUGUGUGGAGGUGUGUAGUGGGGUGUGGAGGUGGUGUAGUGGUGUGUGGAGGCGUGUGCAGGUGGUGUAGUGGUGUGUGGAGGCGUGUGGAGGUGGUGUAGUGGUGUGUGGUGGUGGUGUAGUGUGGAGGUGGUGUAGUGUGGAGGUGGUGUAGUGGGGUGUGGUGGUGUGUGGAGGUGGUGUAGUGGGGUGUGGGUG
This is a long non-coding RNA of Clupea harengus (Atlantic herring), 720 nucleotides long. Lineage: Eukaryota; Metazoa; Chordata; Actinopteri; Clupeiformes; Clupeidae. The record is from Ensembl.